Molecule: non-coding RNA, 144 nt
Filed under: Durinskia baltica
Lineage: Eukaryota; Dinophyceae; Peridiniales; Kryptoperidiniaceae
Source: RNAcentral
AAUAAAACACGCACACAAUAGAUAAAAAUGUCCCCACAGCAUACUCUUCUUUUCCUUCCAUCCGUUCUUUUUCCCUACUUCUUUUUCUUUCUUCUUCCCUUUCAUCUUCUUCUCCUACAUAUUUUUUGUAGGAGAUUUCUAUAU